Molecule: transfer-messenger RNA, 236 nt
Filed under: Comamonadaceae bacterium CG17_big_fil_post_rev_8_21_14_2_50_60_13
Lineage: Bacteria; Pseudomonadati; Pseudomonadota; Betaproteobacteria; Burkholderiales; Comamonadaceae
Description: partial transfer-messenger RNA
Rfam family: transfer-messenger RNA
About the family: Bacterial tmRNA, also known as 10Sa RNA or SsrA, is named for its dual tRNA and mRNA-like properties.
Source: RNAcentral
UCGGCUGGGCAAGGGGAGUCAAAUCGCAAGGUUGGACUGUCCAGGCUGUGGGGUAAUUUCAUUCGGCUGGGGUCGCCUUGGGUAACUUAGGGCGAUUCGAGAAAAUAGGUUGCUGGCGAUUUGCAUAGCGUGCCACUGCGCGAUGUGAAAAGCGAGAUUUAAAUCAGACGGCUACACAUGUAGAACUGUUCGAAGAAGGUUUGCGGACGCGGGUUCAAAUCCCGCCAGCUCCACCA